Molecule: small nuclear RNA, 104 nt
Organism: Phyllostomus discolor (pale spear-nosed bat)
Lineage: Eukaryota; Metazoa; Chordata; Mammalia; Chiroptera; Phyllostomidae
Source: RefSeq, a predicted model, not a curated record
GUGCUUGCUUGAGCAGCACAUACACUAAAAUGGGAACAAUGCAGAGAUUAGCGUGACCCCUGUAUAAGGACGACACGCAGACUUGUGAAGCGUCCGUGUUCCUG